CGCGGGAUGGAGCAGUCUGGUAGCUCGUCGGGCUCAUAACCCGAAGGUCGAAGGUUCAAAUCCUUCUCCCGCUACCA
RNAcentral lists this transfer RNA (77 nucleotides) under Peptoniphilus sp. oral taxon 375 str. F0436. RNAcentral describes it as "tRNA-Met". It matches the Rfam family "tRNA". Rfam says of the family: Transfer RNA (tRNA) molecules are approximately 80 nucleotides in length. Their secondary structure includes four short double-helical elements and three loops (D, anti-codon, and T loops). Lineage: Bacteria; Bacillati; Bacillota; Tissierellia; Tissierellales; Peptoniphilaceae. The record is from RNAcentral. RNAcentral also lists the same sequence under 1 other name.